This 210-nucleotide non-coding RNA is filed under the name Pseudomonas sp. Its description in RNAcentral is "FMN sequence". It matches the Rfam family "FMN riboswitch aptamer (RFN element)". From Rfam's summary of the family: The RFN element is a highly conserved domain that is found frequently in the 5'-untranslated regions of prokaryotic mRNAs that encode for flavin mononucleotide (FMN) biosynthesis and transport proteins. This element is a metabolite-dependent riboswitch that directly binds FMN in the absence of proteins. In Bacillus subtilis, the riboswitch most likely controls gene expression by causing premature transcription termination within the 5' untranslated region of the ribDEAHT operon and precluding access to the ribosome-binding site of ypaA mRNA. Lineage: Bacteria; Pseudomonadati; Pseudomonadota; Gammaproteobacteria; Pseudomonadales; Pseudomonadaceae. RNAcentral also lists the same sequence under 1 other name. The record is from RNAcentral.
CAACGUUCUCAGGGCGGGGUGUAAUUCCCCACCGGCGGUAAUGAUGCGCAAUGCGUCUAGCCCGCGAGCGCUUGGUGCCCUUGUUAGGUCAAUGGGUGACAAGGUCAGCAGACCCGGUGUGAUUCCGGGGCCGACGGUUACAGGCUUUUGCAAACACUGUUUAUGCGGUGUUUUGCAGGGUUCUACAGUCCGGAUAAAGAGAGAGCGGGU